AGCGCAGGCGGGCCGGUUAGUCUAAAGUGGAAUCCCAGGGCUCAACCCUGGACGUGCUUUGGAUACUGCCGGUCUUGAGUUCGUGAGAGGAAAGUGGAAUUCAGGGUGUAGCGGUGAAAUGCUUAGAUAUCCUGAGGAACACCAGUGGCGAAAGCGAUUUUCUGGCACGAAACUGACGCUGAGGCUCGAAAGCAUGGGUAGCAACG
This 206-nucleotide ribosomal RNA is filed under the name uncultured bacterium. RNAcentral describes it as "partial 16S ribosomal RNA". It matches the Rfam family "Bacterial small subunit ribosomal RNA", at positions 568 to 773 of the family's 1533-position model. The record is from RNAcentral.